Long non-coding RNA from Herpailurus yagouaroundi (jaguarundi), 1071 nucleotides. RefSeq lists it as uncharacterized. Lineage: Eukaryota; Metazoa; Chordata; Mammalia; Carnivora; Felidae. The record is from RefSeq and is a predicted model, not a curated record. The transcript is spliced from 2 exons.
AAGUGCACACGGGGACCAACAGAUGAUUCACUGAUUCGUUUUGGGGUCAGGUGAAAUGAAAGGGAACACCUGGAAAAAAAUGAGGGCACAGGUACAGGGAAGUCAGAUUAUGGGCAGCCAUGACUGUUCUACUGCUAAUGGGACGCUGGUGUAGUUUUUCGUUCUUGUUUUUGUUUUUUUUUUUUUUAACUGGUGUAGGUUUUUAAAAGCAGAAGGUCACUGUCAAAAGUGUACCUUAGGAAGGCAACCCUGAUUGCACAGUGGUGGAAGAGCUGGAGGCGUCAAACUCUGGGACAGAAAAGAUCAUUCAUUCAGUUCCUAUGACAACAGUAGAGUGUGGACCAAACAUCUUGGCGUCACCCUUUACUCACUUCUCCCUUUCAUACUCCACAGUCAAGCCACCUCUGGUGCCAUCUCUGAAAUACAUUCUACACCCAAGUUCUAUACCCUGCUGCCAACACCAAGGACGCAGUAUCCACCUCCUGCCAGGCUGCCUGGUACACACCAGGAUGGGCUACCCAUAAACAAGCCACAGCCUGGAUAUGGCUGCUGGCCUUGCUUGCUGAUCCCUGCCAUCCUUGAUCUGGAUCCUUUCUACCUCUCUGACAUCACGAGCGUGCUCUCCAUCACUCCCUCUGCUCUAACCACACAGGCCCCUGCUCUGUUCUUCAGACAAGUAUGCUGCUCCCUCCUACCACAGGGCCUUGGCACAUGUGUUCCCCUCUGCCUGGAAUGCUCUCCCUCUAAUAUUCCUGUGGCUCAUUCCCAGGCUUCAUUCAGUUCUGCGCUCACAUUUCUCAUUUGGAGAAGCCUUCUCUGAUCACCCUUCCUAAAGGAAAAAUCACCCUUGCUCUGUCAUAGUUUGCUGUCUCAUUUCUUGAGGCAUGUAUUAUUAGCUGAUAUGAAUUCAUGUUAUUUCUGAUAUGUAUCUAUCCUCCUCUACUCCCCAGGAUAUAAGUUUCAUGAGUCUGUUGUAUUCUCUGCCACAACAGCACUUUUAUCAGUGCUGGGCAAACAGUAGGCACUCGUUCAUAUUUCCUGAAGAAAUAAAUAAUAAUUACAUCAAGUGGU